AAAUUGAAGAGUUUGAUCAUGGCUCAGAUUGAACGCUGGCGGCAGGCUUAACACAUGCAAGUCGAACGGUAGCAGGGAGGAAGCUUGCUUUCUUUGCUGACGAGUGGCGGACGGGUGAGUAAUACUUGGGGAUCUGGCUUAUGGAGGGGGAUAACGACGGGAAACUGUCGCUAAUACCGCGUAAUGUCUAAGGACUAGAGGGUG
RNAcentral lists this ribosomal RNA (204 nucleotides) under Glaesserella parasuis. RNAcentral's name for it is "partial 16S ribosomal RNA". It matches the Rfam family "Bacterial small subunit ribosomal RNA", at positions 1 to 210 of the family's 1533-position model. Lineage: Bacteria; Pseudomonadati; Pseudomonadota; Gammaproteobacteria; Pasteurellales; Pasteurellaceae. The record is from RNAcentral.